GGGAACAACAGCUGGAAACGGCUGCUAAUACCCCAUAGGCUGAGGAGCAAAAGGAGGAAUCCGCCCAAGGACGGGCUCGCGUCUGAUUAGUUAGUUGGUGAGGCAAUGGCUUACCAAGGCGACGAUCAGUAGCUGGUCCGAGAGGAUGAUCAGCCACACUGGGACUGAGACACGGCCCAGACUCCUACGGGAGGCAGCAGUGGGGAAUUUUCCGCAAUGGAGGAAAGCCUGACGGAGCAAUGCCGCGUGAAGGCAGAUGGCCCACGGGUC
Molecule: ribosomal RNA, 270 nt
Filed under: uncultured organism
Description: partial 16S ribosomal RNA
Rfam family: Bacterial small subunit ribosomal RNA
Source: RNAcentral